Molecule: ribosomal RNA, 685 nt
Filed under: uncultured bacterium
Lineage: Bacteria
Description: bacterial SSU rRNA
Rfam family: Bacterial small subunit ribosomal RNA
Source: RNAcentral
AUUGAACGCUGGCGGCAGGCCUAACACAUGCAAGUCGAGCGGUAACAGGGGUAGCUUGCUACCCGCUGACGAGCGGCGGACGGGUGAGUAAUGUAUAGGAAUCUGCCCGAUAGUGGGGGAUAACCUGGGGAAACCCAGGCUAAUACCGCAUACGUCCUACGGGAGAAAGGGGGCUUCGGCUCCCGCUAUCGGAUGAGCCUAUGUCGGAUUAGCUAGUUGGUGAGGUAAAGGCUCACCAAGGCGACGAUCCGUAGCUGGUCUGAGAGGAUGAUCAGCCACAUCGGGACUGAGACACGGCCCGAACUCCUACGGGAGGCAGCAGUGGGGAAUAUUGGACAAUGGGGGGAACCCUGAUCCAGCCAUGCCGCGUGUGUGAAGAAGGCCCUCGGGUUGUAAAGCACUUUCAGUGAGGAAGAACGCCUGGUGGUUAAUACCCAUCAGGAAAGACAUCACUCACAGAAGAAGCACCGGCUAACUCCGUGCCAGCAGCCGCGGUAAUACGGAGGGUGCGAGCGUUAAUCGGAAUUACUGGGCGUAAAGCGCGCGUAGGUGGCUUGAUAAGCCGGUUGUGAAAGCCCCGGGCUCAACCUGGGAACGGCAUCCGGAACUGUCAAGCUAGAGUGCAGGAGAGGAAGGUAGAAUUCCCGGUGUAGCGGUGAAAUGCGUAGAGAUCGGGAGGAAUACC